CCUGAACGCUGGCGGCGUGGCUAAGACAUGCAAGUCGCACGGAGGUAGCAAUACCUUAGUGGCGAACGGGUGAGUAAUGAAUCGCUAAUGUGCCCCGGACUCUGGGAUAGCUGCCCGAAAGGGCAGGUAAUACCAGAUGAUAUAACCGAACCGCAUGGUUUGGUUCUCAAAGGUCCGCCGGUCUGGGAGCAGGCGAUUUCGUAUCAGCUAGUUGGUGAGGUAACGGCNCACCAAGGCGACGACGCGUAGCCGGACUGAGAGGUUGGCCGGCCACAUUGGGACUGAGACACUGCCCAGACUCCUACGGGGGGCUGCAGUAACGAAUCUUCCGCAAUGCACGAAAGUGUGACGGAGCGACGCCGCGUGU
This 367-nucleotide ribosomal RNA is filed under the name uncultured bacterium. Its description in RNAcentral is "bacterial SSU rRNA". It matches the Rfam family "Bacterial small subunit ribosomal RNA", at positions 30 to 404 of the family's 1533-position model. The record is from RNAcentral.